This is a long non-coding RNA of Passer domesticus (house sparrow), 494 nucleotides long. RefSeq lists it as uncharacterized. NCBI's taxonomy places the organism in Eukaryota, Metazoa, Chordata, Aves, Passeriformes, Passeridae. The record is from RefSeq and is a predicted model, not a curated record. The transcript has 2 exons.
UUUGCAGGCAUCUUCCACCUUAGAGGGAUAGUCCCCUCAGGAUUUCCAAGGAUUCAAGCUGUAUUUGGGGGUGUUGCCCCAAACCAAAACUGCUGCAGCAAUUUGAACUACUGUAGAUAUUAUCACUGAAGAAUCUCCACAAUGAGGAACAGGUCACUGUGCUGGGAACAUCUGGCCUUACAGUUCUCUUUGAUGCUAGGCUCUGAGCUGGCAGCUGCCUCCAUGAAAACUGGUGGUUGUGAAAGCAGUGAGGAAGGAAGAGACCCUGUGCAUCUGUCAGAAGGAGUCUUGAGCCUCCAGAGGACUUUUGCACUGGGAACUGAAUUUCUUCUGGCAUGGUCAGACUCAGAAGAUAGUAGAUCCCUGGAGUAGUGAGCUUUGUGGGGUUUUCAGUGGAAGAUCAUAGCAUAUAAUGAGAUUAUGAGCACUCAGAAGCUUGGUGUUGAGCCUGUUCCUGAUACCAUGGCAACACGACAAUAAAGUCCCCUGCAAUA